UGAGUGACAUCAAGAAGAGACUUGAGGAGAGAGAGAAGACACUGAAGGGGACAAGGAGGGUGAUGGAUAAGAUGAAGAUAUCUGUGGAAAGAGACAUGGAAGAAAAUAAGAAGAGCUUCACUGCUCUGAUACGGUGCAUUGAGGAAGCCCACAGGAAACUAACAGAGAGGAUCAAAGAACAAGAAAAGA
Long non-coding RNA from Polypterus senegalus (gray bichir), 189 nucleotides. RefSeq lists it as uncharacterized. NCBI's taxonomy places the organism in Eukaryota, Metazoa, Chordata, Cladistia, Polypteriformes, Polypteridae. The transcript has 2 exons. The record is from RefSeq and is a predicted model, not a curated record.